CACCGAAAUACUCGCCAUCACCUAACAGGGCAAUCCGUAAGUCUUCGCCAUGAGGCCCCUUGCUAAUGACCUCAGCCUGUCCGCUAGCCACGAUGAAGAAACGCUGCUUGUCCUUACCCUCCUCCACGAAGAGUUUAUCUACAUCCACCUCCUUAGCCUCGAACGAACUAACCAGACGGUUCAGUAUCUCAUCGUCGAACUCAGAGAACAGGGGGAUGGCCUUCAAGUUCUUCGCUGUAAACGACGGAACACCAUCGACAUAUUGGAUGGGCAGUCGGUCGUUCUUGCGAAGUUCGACCUUCGUACGGUUUACGCGGAAAGUUCCGCCGCUCACCUGCACCCAGGGCAGCAGUUUCAGUAACAGUCUCGGAGUGAUAGAGCCCAUCUGUGGGGCUGUCUUGGUGGUGGUUGCCAGUCUUCUGGCUGUUGCGGUAGUUACA
RNAcentral lists this non-coding RNA (440 nucleotides) under uncultured Prevotella sp. The record is from RNAcentral. Lineage: Bacteria; Pseudomonadati; Bacteroidota; Bacteroidia; Bacteroidales; Prevotellaceae.